UCGGGAAUUUUGCGCAAUGGACGAAAGUCUGACGCAGCAACGCCGCGUGAGGGAUGACGGCCUUCGGGUUGUAAACCUCUUUUGUCAGGGACGAUGAUGACGGUACCUGACGAAUAAGCCACGGCUAACUACGUGCCAGCAGCCGCGGUAAUACGUAGGUGGCAAGCGUUGUCCGGAUUUACUGGGCGUAAAGAGCGCGCAGGCGGUCGAUUUAGUCGCGUGUGAAAGCCCCCGGCUCAACUGGGGAGGGUCACGCGAUACUGAUCGACUCGAAGGCAGGAGAGGGUAGUGGAAUUCCCGGCGUAAUGGUGAAAUGCGUAGAUAUCGGGAGGAACACCAGUGGCGAAGGCGACUACCUGGCCUGUUCUUGACGCUGAGGCGCGAGAGCUAGGGGAGCAAACGGG
Molecule: ribosomal RNA, 404 nt
Filed under: Bacillota bacterium
Lineage: Bacteria; Bacillati; Bacillota
Description: Firmicutes bacterium partial 16S ribosomal RNA
Rfam family: Bacterial small subunit ribosomal RNA
Source: RNAcentral